Molecule: ribosomal RNA, 408 nt
Filed under: uncultured bacterium
Lineage: Bacteria
Description: partial 16S ribosomal RNA
Rfam family: Bacterial small subunit ribosomal RNA
Source: RNAcentral
GACGAACGCUGGCGGCGUGCUUAACACAUGCAAGUCGAACGAAGUGGCGAACGGGUGAGUAACGCGUAAUCAACCUGCCCUUCAGAGGGGGACAACAGUUGGAAACGACUGCUAAUACCGCAUACUGAAGGAGGGGAUUGCGUCUGAUUAGCUAGUUGGAGGGGUAACGGCCCACCAAGGCGAUGAUCAGUAGCCGGGCUGGGAGGAUGAACGGCCACAAUGGGACUGAGACACGGGUCCGAAUCCCACGGGAGGCAGCAGUGGGGAAACUUCGGAAAUGGACGAAAGUCUGAAGGAGCAAAGCCGGGUGAGAGAUGACGGCCUUCGGGUUGUAAAGCUCUGUUAAUCGGGACGCGGUACCGGAAUAGAAAGCCACGGCUAACUACGUGCCAGCCGCCGCGGUAAUAC